GAGGUUUUACCUCUCCCUCUUGUUCUCGCUUCUGUAUCUCUCUUACCCACCAUUGUUGUCUGCACCUGUUCGCUCUCCUUUACAUUUAUCUGUAUCACCUUUUUCAGCUCCUAAUUUGUUAAAGCCAUAAACAUGCCUCUGAGAAGCUCCUCGACACCGAUCCUGAACUCAUGGAUGUCCCACUGCAAAGACUCCUCGCCGGAGCCGGAGCCACUCCUCUGUAGAAACAGGUCUGUCUCCCUAUCAUUGUGCACCUUUCACCCACCUACAGCUGACACAACAAAAACCCAAGUCUCCCUAGAAUCCGACAUCAAAAUCCAACAGAAACCCAGAAACAAGAAGCUUAACGUCCCCAUACCUCGAAGCCUCCGGAAGAAAUCGAAAACCAAGGCCGAGAAACCAGAGGAACCGGAAGAGGAGAUAAAACCCACUUCGAGAUUGUGGUUCGGGAGCUGAAAGGCUGUUUUCUAGCUCUGGUUUGGGGGAGAAAAUCAUGGAUGGUGAGGACUAUGGUGGGGGGAAGAAGAAAGAGAGUGUUUUGCAGACGCUGGUGGUGGGGGGCGGUGUGGGGAAUAGUGGCGGGAAGAUUUGCGGCGGCGGCGGUGGCGGGAAAGGAUCAGACGGCGGAGAAGGAAGUGGGUUUGGUUUCUUCGAGGGUAAUAAUCGUGGGAGUGGGAGUACUGAUGCUUAUUAUCAGAAGAUGAUUGAAGCUGACCCGGGAAAUGCUCCUCUUACUUGGCAACUAUGCAAAGUUUUUAAAAGAGGUAAACUUGUAAACUAAACAACACUUUCUUGGAUUAUUGUUUUCUGUUUGGUUGCUGAGAAAAUUUAUGAAAAGAAUGGAGAUUGUCAUCCUUAAUUAAUUGACCAUCUUAUAACGGGAAGUGAUUUUCACGCAUCUAAAGAAAACAACAAAGGUAGAUUACACCGCAAAUUCUAGAUGUUCAUGACACUAGAAAUGUUCACACAAUUGGUCUAAAUAUUUUACGUGAAGAUUUAAUGUUCGAUAAAUUAGGAGUGUUUCUGAUUAGUUGUGACUAAUGCGAAUAGGUCCGAGGAGAUUAUGAGAAAGCAGAGGAGUAUUGUGGAAGAUCAAUCUUGGCGAACCCGAGUGAUGCGAAUACCUUAUCACUGUACGGUGAUCUAAUAUGGAAUGCUCACAGGGAUGCUGAACGAGCUGAGAAUUAUUUGAUCAAGCUGUUAAAACUUCCC
This 1212-nucleotide long non-coding RNA is filed under the name Malus domestica (apple). RNAcentral describes it as "long non-coding RNA (MDOM_LNC017636)". The record is from RNAcentral. Lineage: Eukaryota; Viridiplantae; Streptophyta; Magnoliopsida; Rosales; Rosaceae.